Molecule: non-coding RNA, 31 nt
Filed under: Rattus norvegicus (Norway rat)
Lineage: Eukaryota; Metazoa; Chordata; Mammalia; Rodentia; Muridae
Source: RNAcentral
UGGAUCGAUCAUCAGCAGUUUGACUAUGUCC